Long non-coding RNA from Schistocerca piceifrons (Central American locust), 674 nucleotides. RefSeq lists it as uncharacterized. The record is from RefSeq and is a predicted model, not a curated record. Lineage: Eukaryota; Metazoa; Arthropoda; Insecta; Orthoptera; Acrididae. The transcript is spliced from 4 exons.
UGUCAGAACUCAGCCACUCGGAGCUAGUGUGCCAUGUUCUCCUUCAUAAUGGGCUCUAUGGAAAAUGAAAGGAUAAAUGAAUGAGUUUGAAAUUAGCAUUUGAGACACUAUUUGGCUAUGGUGCAGAAGCAGUUGACUGAAAGAUCAUAGAUAUUUAACCACUUGAUCAGCUGGAAGCUAGAAAAAAUUUUACUGAGACUACAAAUAUUGGUAACUCACAAGCUGCAAAAUGGUAAGGUAUUUCUUCCACCACAGGUACUUAGCUACUGCUGGGCCCAGGGCAGAAAGCCCAUAAUAUGUGUACAUCAGUACAUGGAUGAAGCUAUUAGCCAUUGCUGGAAGGAAGGCUGAAAAACAAGGAUACAUACCUUAAAUACUAAUCCAAAUAGACUGGUCACCUGAUGCAAGUCUUUUGAGUUGACGCCACUUUGACGACUUGUGCAUCAAUGGGGAUGAGAUGAUGAUGAAGAAGACAACACAACACCCAGUACCUGAGCGGAGAAAAUCUCUGACCCAGCCGGGAAUCGAAGCCUGGCUCCUUGGCAUGACAGUCCAUCGCACUGACCACUCAGCUAUCGGGGCGGACAAAUUUUCAUAUAAAGACAUCAAUUCUGAAAAAUUAUAUUCACUGGAAAGGUGCUUAUAUUUAUUGAUAUUCUAAUUCUUGUGGACAA